AGCAGCCGCGGUAAUUCCAGCUCCAAUAGCGUAUAUUAAAGUUGUUGCAGUUAAAAAGCUCGUAGUUGAAUUUCGGGAUUGACGUGAUGGUCAUGCCUUAAGGGGUAUGAACUGUUACAGUUGAUUUCUCACCUUCUGGAGAAACUUGAUGUCCUUUAUUGGGUGUCUUGCGGAUCCAGGACCUUUACCUUGAAAAAUUAGAGUGUUUAAAGCAGGCAUUUUUGCUCGAAUACAUUAGCAUGGAAUAAUAGAAUAGGACGGCAUGGUUCUAUUUUGUUGGUUUCUAGGAUCACCGUAAUGAUUAAUAGGGAUAGUUGGGGCAUUAGUAUUCAAUUGUCAGAGGUGAAAUUCUUGGAUUUAUUGAAGACUAACUACUGCGAAAGCAUUUGCCAAGGAUGUUUUCAUUAAUCAAGAACGAAAGUUAGGGGAUCGAAGACGAUCAGAUACCGU
This 450-nucleotide ribosomal RNA is filed under the name uncultured Glomeromycotina. RNAcentral describes it as "SSU rRNA". It matches the Rfam family "Eukaryotic small subunit ribosomal RNA", at positions 569 to 1018 of the family's 1831-position model. The record is from RNAcentral. Lineage: Eukaryota; Fungi; Glomeromycota.